AAAAAUACCAUCCCAUUCGGAUUGCAGUCUGCAACUCGACUGCAUGAAGCUGGAAUCGCUAGUAAUCGCGGAUCAGAAUGCCGCGGUGAAUACGUUCCCGGGUCUUGUACACACCGCCCGUCACACCAUGGGAGUCGGAUAUGCCCGAAGUCAGUGACCCAACCGCAAGGAGGGAGCUGCCGAAGGUGGAGCCGAUGACUGGGGUGAAGUCGUAACAAGGUAAC
Molecule: ribosomal RNA, 224 nt
Filed under: uncultured bacterium
Lineage: Bacteria
Description: partial 16S ribosomal RNA
Rfam family: Bacterial small subunit ribosomal RNA
Source: RNAcentral